RNAcentral lists this ribosomal RNA (261 nucleotides) under uncultured bacterium. RNAcentral describes it as "partial 16S ribosomal RNA". It matches the Rfam family "Bacterial small subunit ribosomal RNA", at positions 92 to 354 of the family's 1533-position model. The record is from RNAcentral.
CGACCGGCGCACGGGUGCGUAACGCGUAUGCAACCUACCUUUUACAGGGGCAUAACAUCGAGAAAUUGGUACUAAUACCCCAUAACAUCACCGGAGGCAUCUUCGGUGGUUGAAAACUCAGGUGGUCAGAGAUGGACAUGCGUUGUAUUAGCUAGUUGGUGAGGUAACGGCUCACCAAGGCGACGAUACAUAGGGGGACUGAGAGGUCAACCCCCCACAUUGGUACUGAGACACGGACCAAACUCCUACGGAAGGCAGCAG